Molecule: small nucleolar RNA, 75 nt
Organism: Drosophila subobscura
Lineage: Eukaryota; Metazoa; Arthropoda; Insecta; Diptera; Drosophilidae
Product: small nucleolar RNA Me28S-Cm788
Exons: 1
Source: RefSeq, a predicted model, not a curated record
AUAUCACAAUGAUGAUUUAUUUACAUAUGUUAGACUAAUGAAAUAAUUUGAUUGUAAAUUCAUAACUGAUGCAAU